Chenopodium quinoa (quinoa) is the source of this 2613-nucleotide RNA transcript. It is a transcript of the gene named putative F-box/LRR-repeat protein At4g15060, with no coding region annotated. NCBI's taxonomy places the organism in Eukaryota, Viridiplantae, Streptophyta, Magnoliopsida, Caryophyllales, Amaranthaceae. The transcript is spliced from 6 exons. The record is from RefSeq and is a predicted model, not a curated record.
AAAAUAAUAGGGUCAUAUUAAACUCCGCGCAUAUAUUUAGUUAUACAUCCCGCGUUCUAGUGGUGACUCUCACUCUCAUUCAAGGACCGGCGCCGCUUUCAGAUCGACGUUGGCCGCACUCCGCCGACGGACAGGUAUUCGCCUGCUUGCCUUCAGCCUUCAGCCUUCUCUGAGUUCUCUCUCUUCGACAGUUCAAAACUUCAGUCUUCGCUGUGAGGGGUUAUUUAUUUACUUGGACAAACAAUCUCCCUCCUCCACCAAACAGCACCUUGUUGUUGUCUUCUGUGCUUCUCUGUCUUCUGUCAGAUUGAAAUCCACUUUGGUAGGGAUACCAAACAACCUUGAAGAGAUUUGGUGUUCUCUAGUUUGUAUUGGCCGGGAAGCAUUAUGGUGGAGAGGACUUGGCCUGCCCUUCAAUCUUGCAAGCAUCAGUGUUCUGAAGCAAACGAUCUACUGAGUCAAUUGCCAGAUGAUCUUCUGUUUUUUAUCAUGUCCUUCUUAACAUUGAAGGAAGCCGCAAGAACUAGUGUUCUUUCACAUAGAUGGAAUUAUUUGUGGCGAUGUUUGCCUGUCUUGAUCUUUGAAGAUUUCUCCGCAAUGGAGAGGAUGUUCAAAGAUGAUGAUUUUGUUUCCCAAGAAAGAUCAAGCUUUUUGAGGUGGGUGAAUCGAGUUGUGGAAGCUCAUCUUGGUAAAUAUGUAGAUGAGUUGAGGGUGACUUUUGAUUUCAACAAACGUUGUCAAUCUGAUAUAAAUAAGUGGCUGGUUUUUGCUGUAGCAAAACAUGUGAAAAGGCUUGAACUGAACUUCACAACACCCACUGGAUGUUACAAAUCUUCGCUUCCUAGAUGGCGUAUGUCUCUUGAUCAGCCUCAUAAUUUAUCCGUCUUUAAGUCUUCCCUACGUUCUUUGUCUCUCACUUACGUCUACGUAACUACAAAUGAUAUUGAUUGCCUUCUUAGUUCCUGCAUGGUCCUUGAGAAUUUGUGCAUAAAUAAUUCACGGCCUUUAAAAUAUAUAAGAGCUUUUGGUUUACCUCUGCAGCUAAAACACUUAGAGGUAUCUUACUGUCCCCGUUUGAGAACCAUUGAUAUUUUGGCCCCAAAACUUUUGUCAUUUACACAUCAUGGCAACCCUGUUGAGCUACAUAUUAGAAAUGCUUCUUUGCUUUCGAAGUUGUCACUUGGUAAUAUACGUUGUACAAGAGACAUUGUGGCAUGUGCUUUUGACUCCCUUUCAAAGUACUUUUCGCAGUUGGAGUAUUUGAGUUGGACGAUCGGAUUGUGCAUCGGGAGUAGUAUAUCGCUUACUUUCUGUGUCAAGUUUAAUUUAGGGAUUAAGAACCCACCUGCCAUGACAAACCUCAAGCAUCUAGAACUCCAUGUCACUGCGUUCUGUGAACAAAGCCUCCUUGGAUGGGCAGACUUGAUUGAGGCAUCUCCACUACUAGAAAGAUUGACUCUAAAGUUUUAGCUGGCAAUGCUAGAAAAACAACCGCCAAGGAAACAAGAAGUCAGUCUUUACAAAAUGGCAUCAGUAUGAAUAGUUUCCCAACUUCUAGGAACGGUUGAAACCACCCACUCUUCAUGUGCAUAAGCCUGACAAUACACCAAACACCACCAAUAGAAACUACACAAGAAUUAAAUGACUAUAAAAGCACCAACUACAUAAGAAGGAGGUCCCUGUCAGCAGCUUUGCAUGUGUAGGUAGCCUUAAACAGAAUACUUUGUAGAGUUGAUUAGCACCCUUCACCCUUGUUCCAAAAGUUUUAUCAUUCCCUCAAUCCAUAACCCAUAGACAGUUUCAGCAAAAAGAUUAAGGUAGACUUUGAGUUUUCUUUGCCAUUUUCACUGGGUUUUGAGUUUCAGUCUCAAAAGAGCCAACAGAUCUGGUCAUUUAAAAAAGUUUUAAGUGCAUCUUCCGAACAUCAACAGAGAAAGUGCAAGAGAAAAAGAGAUGUUGAACGCUUUCUAAAUCCAUUCCACACAAAGAGCAAGUUGGAUUUGAGAUUAUCCCCCACUUCAUGAGCCUAUCUUUGGUAGCUAGCCAUUCUGUCUUGCAGAGCCUUCCACAGAAUAAGAACAGAGAUGUGAAAGUUUUCCGCUUAUCAUGGAAAGCAUAGUAGGAAGAUAAUAAAAUGAAAUAGGCGCCCCCUCAAAAGCUUGAAGACACUAGAGCUUUAUAACGAUCUCGGACUUCCAAUUGAUCUUGAGUUUGCUACUUAUGUGAUUGAGAACUCCGUCAUGCUCAAAGAUGUGAUUGUUGAGCUUAAGCCUUUGUUUGGUCUACUUUCAGAACACAUUAGUGUGCAGGAUCAAGCUGCAAAACUUAAAAGUAUAGUGCCCCAAGGUGUGAAGUUAACUUUAAAAAUACUUAAAUAGUGGAUAUGUGAAGGGAAAACAUGUGACCUCCAUAAGGGUUGAUAAGCAUAUCUAUGAUCCACUCGCAAAGAUGUUAAUCGUUUCUCAUCAGAUGUAAGCGAGUUCUUUUCUUUUAGGGCUUGUCAUUUACCACAAGGUCCAUGUUAUGUUAUGUUAUUCCGACUGUAUAUACAGUGCACUUCGUAUUAUUUUUCUUGUUUUAAGUUUAUGUUUAGUUCUCUAAUUGCUUGGUGUA